RNAcentral lists this ribosomal RNA (461 nucleotides) under uncultured bacterium. RNAcentral describes it as "partial 16S ribosomal RNA". It matches the Rfam family "Bacterial small subunit ribosomal RNA", at positions 28 to 507 of the family's 1533-position model. The record is from RNAcentral.
GACGAACGCUGGCGGCGUGCUUAACACAUGCAAGUCGAGCGGAAAGGCCCUUCGGGGUACUCGAGCGGCGAACGGGUGAGUAACACGUGAGUAACCUGCCCAGACUUUGGGAUAACCCUCGGAAACGGGGGCUAAUACCGGAUACGACACAGCUUCGCAUGGGGUCUGUGUGGAAAGUUUUUCGGUUUGGGAUGGGCUCGCGGCCUAUCAGCUUGUUGGUGGGGUGAUGGCCUACCAAGGCGACGACGGGUAGCCGGCCUGAGAGGGCGACCGGCCACACUGGGACUGAGACACGGCCCAGACUCCUACGGGAGGCAGCAGUGGGGAAUAUUGCACAAUGGGCGGAAGCCUGAUGCAGCGACGCCGCGUGAGGGAUGACGGCCUUCGGGUUGUAAACCUCUUUCAGCAGGGACGAAGCGUAAGUGACGGUACCUGCAGAAGAAGCGCCGGCCAACUACGUG